GCCGGGGUCACCUAGCCUGGCUUCAUGGUGCCAGACUCAUAAUCUGGUUACCCGGGUUCGAAUCCCGGCCCCGGCA
Molecule: transfer RNA, 76 nt
Filed under: Thermoprotei archaeon
Lineage: Archaea; Thermoproteati; Thermoproteota; Thermoprotei
Also listed under: 4 other names
Description: tRNA-Met
Rfam family: tRNA
About the family: Transfer RNA (tRNA) molecules are approximately 80 nucleotides in length. Their secondary structure includes four short double-helical elements and three loops (D, anti-codon, and T loops). Further hydrogen bonds mediate the characteristic L-shaped molecular structure. tRNAs have two regions of fundamental functional importance: the anti-codon, which is responsible for specific mRNA codon recognition, and the 3' end, to which the tRNAs corresponding amino acid is attached (by aminoacyl-tRNA synthetases). tRNAs cope with the degeneracy of the genetic code in two manners: having more than one tRNA (with a specific anti-codon) for a particular amino acid; and 'wobble' base-pairing, i.e. permitting non-standard base-pairing at the 3rd anti-codon position.
Source: RNAcentral